Molecule: ribosomal RNA, 253 nt
Filed under: uncultured bacterium
Lineage: Bacteria
Description: partial 16S ribosomal RNA
Rfam family: Bacterial small subunit ribosomal RNA
Source: RNAcentral
UACGGAGGGUGCAAGCGUUAUCCGGAUUCACUGGGUUUAAAGGGUGCGUAGGUGGGCAGGUAAGUCAGCGGUGAAAUCCCCGAGCUUAACUUGGGAACUGCCAUUGAUACUAUCUGUCUUGAAUAUCUUGGAGGUGAGCGGAAUAUGUCAUGUAGCGGUGAAAUGCUUAGAUAUGACAUAGAACACCAAUUGCGCAGGCAGCUCACUACACGAUUAUUGACACUGAGGCACGAAAGCGUGGGGAUCAAACAGG